Molecule: long non-coding RNA, 6672 nt
Filed under: Brassica napus (rape)
Lineage: Eukaryota; Viridiplantae; Streptophyta; Magnoliopsida; Brassicales; Brassicaceae
Description: long non-coding RNA (BNAP_LNC005664)
Source: RNAcentral
UUAGAUUUACCUUGAGACGAGCAACAAGAGGUUCCUCUUUUGGUGUCUCUUCGGUUUUAGCUACCACUACUACUUCAGGUUGUCUCGGUGCACUCGAGACUUGUCUCUCUUUCAGAACCGUGUUGCUUUGAUUCUUCUCUAUUUCCCUUGCUGGGUCAGUGGCAGUUCCAUUGACUUCAGAAGAUGCACCAUUGUCUUUCUUCAACUUGGCAACAAGUACCCACAUGUUUGCCAAAUCAUUUUCUAGGGCUUCCUCUCUUCUCUUUGCUUCUUCUGCUUUUUUCCUGUAUUCUUCUUCUAUGAACUCUUUCUCUGACAGUGCAGACUCAAGAACCGCCUCUCGCUGUUUCCUUGCUUUCAACUCCAUUUUCAGAUCUUCCAGGUCGAGACUCCUUGAGUGAAACUCAUCUCCACUUGACCUACCCGAAGAGAUCCUUCCCUUUAUUCCUGACCUUGCCCCGUCGUUAUACUUGCGACUAUUAACUCCGUUCAUGGGGUUACGCGUUUGAGCCAAGUCUCUUGCAGCUGCUAAUUCUUUCUCGAGCUUUGUGUUUUGUAGUGAAAGUUUUGUUACUUCACUAGCCAGAUUUUUCAGCUCAACAGCAGCAGCAGAGGCUAGUUCCUUGGCGUAUGAAGCUUCUUCAGCUAGUUUUUGAUUUUGUACUCGUAAACCACUGUUCUCUUCCACGAUCUGGACAUGUUCUAGCUUCAAUUUCUCGUUCUUUAUCUCCUAAAAUAGAAGACAUAAACGUCUAUGUAAAAACAAGAGAUAAAAGUAUGUAACUAUUAACAGAGGAUCAAUUUUUUUUAUUAUUGUCUACGUUACGUGAUAUUAUCAUGCGGUUAUUUACUGACAUACUUACGAGAACGGAGAAUGUAUGUUUGUUUAUUUACCUGCGACUGUAUUUUCCUUUUUAGUUCAUCUGCAUACUCUCCAGAUGAUGCUGAUUUCUCACUAGAUACUGCUUUCAAACGUUGCUCUAGAAGGUUCACCUUUUCAUGUAGUUCUUUGUUCUCAGUGCACUACAUAUUUGGGAAAAGUGUGGUAAGAGGCAAUUUUCGCAGAACAGUGUUGAAAGGAUGAAAGAUAGUAAGCAAGAAGAACUGAGUAAAAAAAAAGAUGAGAACAAUGAACAACUUUAAAUGAAAAAAAAAGCUACCAACCUUCUUCUGUAGUUGUUCUUGAAGAAUGCAAUUAUCUGCUGAUUUGAUCUGUGCCAGAGGUAGAACCAAGUUAAACAUAUGGUUACUUUAAGCAACCUUUGAUUUGGCUCUUGUAGUAAACAAGGCGGUAUUUUCAGUAAAAGAAUAAAUCUUCACCUCUAGUUCAAAGCUCUUCUCAUUGCACUGGGUCAUUAAACUCAUUACUUUCUGAAAACAAGAAAAGAACAUAAUAUCUUAGCUGAAAGGGUCCAAAGUCAUGUUCUCGCAGUGAAGGGAUGUGGAGAUUGUAUACCUGUUGCAUCUCAACCAAUGAUGCGUUGGCAAUUGAUGCUUCACCACUCUCAAUUAUUAGCUGUUCUAAAGCCCUCAUUUGUCCUUGCUUUUCUUGAAUCUCGCGUUCCAGAUCCUGUAUCUGUAUGAAUAAUUUGGCAGGUGAAUUAUUUAAGCAAAGUAAAAUAGACACUUCAGGUAGACAGUCAAAUAAUCUUCUAAAAAAUCACAACAAAUAUCUUUGAAACGUGUUUCCGGUGGCAGAGUACACAAAUAUCAAAAGUAACAUUACCUGAGUUUGUGAGUUUUCCGGAUCAUUUACGGACUGGUCCACCAAACGCUUUAGAGUGCUCAUACUGAAAGCUACUUCGCCAGCAAGCAUCUUAACUUGUUCAACCAGAAGGUCAAUUUCAUCCGGCGUCAUGACACCCUAUAUGUAGCCAUUGUCCCCCAACUAUUAGAUUCCAUUUCUGCAAUCAAUACAAACUUUGGGGUAGUCUACUCACUUGAGUAAUUUCUGCACCAGGCGAGUUUUCGCCAUUCAACUUGCUGGAAGAUCUCCGGUGGUUAAAACCUAAAGAACCAUCUGAUACAGGAGCCAGGGUAGAAGAUGGAGAUCCCAGGUUAUCGUUAUCCAAGAGCAGAGAAGCGAAUUUCUGAAAAGCAAAGAAAAAACAGAAUGAUUCACUGUGUGUUUGAAAUAGCUUCUGAGAUAAGGCAGCAACAUGCAGCAGUAGAGUAAAAAAAAAGAUAGAACGAUAAAUUACUUUCCCAGAAAAGAUGCCUUGAGUAAACAAAAUAUAUACUUAUUCAGAAGAAAAGAUGGCAAGAAUUUGUUUCAUUGCGGACACAUCACUGGUUUGAUAAGAUAACUUACGUCAUCAUUUCCCGCAGAGAGACUGCGCUGGUGAGUGGGUACGUCACCCAAAUAUCCAGUUCUAGAAUUCUUGGUAGAUACGAGUAUGAGCUUGGUAAGCUUUUGAAUUCUGCUCAUUAGAGCAGCUUUGGCUUCUUCUUCUUCCUCCAAUCUUGACUGCAUUUUCACUUGACCUUCUUCCAACUGUUAUAAUACAUAGAUAGGUAGUUCAGUCACCGCCAUUGGUACACAGAAAAAUGUAUUCAGGAUAAAAAUGGUCUGCGGAAGUCAGAACCUGUUGCUUUAAGCUCAUCAACUCUUCAUGACUGACACCAACAAGCAUACCUCUUCUUAGCUGAUCAAGUUCUAGUUUGAGAAUUGAGAUCUCUCUUUGAUAUUUCUUAAUUAGUGACUUCUCAUCUAUAAUCUGCUUUUGGGACAUUAUAUAAUAAUCAUUAAGUGGAAGUUCGAGCUUGAACCAUUGAGUAGAGCAAGGUACUUUAUUAAAAAACAUGCUAAGAGAUCACCUGAUUGCGUGAAGCAUAGAUUUCUAUACUCUUUGCUCUGCUGGCGAAUUUCAAUGUAUUAUGAGUUUCCUCAUUACUGCUAGACGCGGGAGUAAUUGUACAUAUGAGCUAAAAAGGGAAAACAAAAUACUGAAUUAGUUUCUCUGUUGUUUUGGUGAAUUAGCGUGACUGCACUGCGUAGUGCGUACUACAGAUAUAUAGCCCAAAAUCCUCCAAAGUCAACCAUGGAAAAUAAUAUAGUGAAACUGGAAAGAUUUAACCAGAGACAGAAUAGUCUUACCGAAACAUGCCCAUGACCACUUAGUGAUGAUUGCAGAAGACGAGUUAACUUAGAGUCACGAUAUGGAAUGUGAGUUGCCUUACCCUCACUAAGUUUUCCAAUCACCUUCACAAAUAAAACAAGAAAUAAUUUUAGUAAAAGGCAGUUCCAUCGCAAGGGUUUGAGACUUAAAAUGCUACCACCGACAGACAAAAAGUACAAAAAAGGCAGCAUACUACUUAUCAGAAAGUCAAGCAUCAAGAGAUACUAGCACAAUAGAUCAUGAAAAACAGAAAUGUACUGAGAAUCCUAAGUGUAUUCCCAGCAACUGAAAAUUCUGUUAUGAUUCUUUAAUGACACCAAUGGGAUAUAGAAUCUAAUUAAAUUGUUCCUAUUAGCAAGUCCAGCAUUAUUCAGUAAUGAUGCUUUUGAUUGGCAUGCCAUCGUUACAUAUUAAAAAACAGAUAAUAAUGGAAGGAAUCCCCCGAAUUAAGAAAUGAAACCUACAGUUCCAAGAGUUAGAAGACUCUUGUUGAUGUAUGAACCCUCCUUCCUCCUCAAUCCAGUUGUCUCAGUUUUGGAACUCUCAGAACCAGCCAAGUCAAUCAAAUUCUAAACAAGAAAGAUAUACAGUUAGUCCCUUCUUGACAAAUGAAUGAUCUAUAUAUAAUAACUAAACGAAGAAGCACUUACGAGUUGAGAAAAAAUAACUCCAUCAUAUUCAUCUCCAGUAGCACUACUUUCAAUCAUCUGCAAACAUAUACAAAUUGGACUCAAAACAUGUAAUAAAGAGAGUUGUAAGAGCAAACAAAUAUCAUGCAGAGACACUUAGAAGAGCAAUACGUUACACUAUGACAAGUUUGGAUCUUGAAGACAUACCAGUGUAAAUAAAGUGUGACUUCUGCUGCUCAUCAAAUUGAAAUUAUUUGAACCAACGUGGCGAUGUUCUGUCAUAAAAACAACAGCAACACUAAGGAGAGGCAGGAGGGACAGAGUUCAGAACAUCAAGACAUGUGUCAAAGGUCAAGUUUUCUAAUUACCUUCUCCAGCUGCAAUGAAGGAUAGUACGUGACCAGGAGACAAAACAACUUCUUCCUUGAUACCCUCAACAUAAGUGCCCUAGAAAAACGAAUAGUACACUCUUUACUUAGCCAAAAUAAUUCUUAUAACAGGAGGAUAAAUAUUUAAGCUAAUUCGUUCUAAAUUAUUCUAUUUAGACCAUGAUGCUAUAAAACUGUACGUGCGUGAUAGAGAGAGAAUGAUAAAUCUAAGCAUUCAUUCAAUAGUGGUUAAAGCAAACCUGGGAAUCCUCUCUAACUCGUAAGUUUUGGCCUGUUGGAUCCAGUAAAUCAUUUAUCACCUGAUACAAGGACAGUAAUCAGAUAAACUGUAGACAGAUGAAACAGACAAACAAUCAAGUAAGAGUAAAGAGAUGACUCAAAUUUAUAUAAUUUAAGCAGUUGACUUCCCAGUGAUAAGGUAAAGGGCAUGGAAACAAAUCGCAGACUACUUUCCAAGGCUUAGCAAGUUAUGUAUCAAGGAGAGAAAGUUGGACUAACCUCGUUGUAUAUUUCAAGAUACGAAACACGGAGCAGGAACUCCCUUCCUGGAGUCUGAAAGAUAAUGACGUAGCCAAUUAGGGAAGAUGAAGUAAGUCAUAGGAGAAAAAAGAGAUGAAGACCGCUUACAUCCUGGAUGAUACUGAACACGUCUUUUAUUGCAAGCGGUAUGAUCCCAGGAGAUUCUUGAUCACCCUAAGCAUAUUGCAAUCAAAUGGAAAAACAAAAGGAAUAUCAUUUGUUUGGAUGGGAAUUUAAAAUCUAACAGAAUACCCAGAAGAAGAUAUCGAAGAAAAAAAGUCGUACAUGCAUGGUAUGGGUCUUUCCACUGCUUGUAACACCAUAGGCAAAAACGGUUCCUGCCAAAUUUCCAAAACAGUGAGUCAGUCAGGCUAUAAACAAUACUAAAUUGAAGGCAGCAAUGUUGGUUCCAUACCGUUAACACCUUCCAUGGCAGCCUUGACAACGGGUCUUGCAGCAACGUCAUAAACGUCCAUAGUAUUUGCUUGUGGUCCAAAUACUUUAUCUGACAUCCACAAAUUUGGAAAAAAUAUUCACUCACCACUAUAAUCAACUUGAACAAUAAUUAUCAUUUAAUAAAAAAAAAAGAGUUGGAAGGCGGAGAAUACCAAAAGCGUAGGCAGUGAGGGGAUUGUACUCGUGCCUGACCAUGGUAUCUCCAUCAGGAUACCAAGCAACUUCAUCUCCUCUUUGAUACUCUCUAUCACUGCAAUUUCAGAAUCCCAAUAAUUGAGGCAUUCGAAUAGCAUCUAGAUCUGGUGUAGGGCGAUCAGAUCUAAUUAAUAUACCUCAAAGGUCGAAAACGAACGGUGACGGAAAUGCUAUCCCGCUCGGAGCUGAUAGUCUCCUCCACAGGCUCGCCGAGAAGCUCCUCCGACGGGUAAGGGAGGGAGGAUCCAGUUCCGAAGCUCUCGGAGCCGAUUGGGCCGUAGUCGGAGAAGGUGCGACUGGUAGUCAUAGAUCGGGAGCCGAUUCCGCCGCCGGAGUUAGGAAGUGAAGAAGAACGGGGGACGAGGCGGUUGCUGAGAUGAGAAGAAGAAGUGGAAGAAGAGGGACUUGCUGGUCUAUUGUUAGAGAAGGGAGAGCUGCUCCUUGUUCGAGAUGAGGAUGAAGCCAUCCACUGACCUAGAAACUCGCGGGUGGGGGAGGAGGUCAACUCCGGCGACUCGGUCCCGGAAUCGGUGAGGAGAAUCGAUUCAGGAAAGGAAGAGAAUGUGUCAGUGGGGGGAGCUCACAUGGCUGCUGGAGACUGAAUAAAUCAUUCUAACCUUCUCUCUCUCUCUCCUUCUUUCGGUUGCUACAUAAUAGUUUGGUUUCUACAUUUUCUGUAAUAAAUUAAGAACACCCAAGAAUGGAAUGUAACAUAACUACAUUUUGCGUUCACUUGCAAAAAGAGUACCUUUGAUUUGCCUUUGGUUAAGACGGAAACGCAAAUAGGCGAUCAGAGAUCUUUGUCCGGCAAAUUGGGCAUUCAGAGCAAGCGAGGGAACAUGAUUUACAUACUGUACAAAAAAAUAUGGAACAUCUUUUCAAUAAAGAGAGAGAACCAAAGGCUUCAUGGGGAUGAAGUUCUGACUUACAGCAGAAAUGGCGGCAAGGGAGUAAAAUUGCUGCUGUGGGAGACUCGAAACAUACUUUACAGAUGUGAGAGUUUGCGUCUCCAUUCGCUUGCGAUUUCAUCUCUUUCUCCUUCAUUUCUUGCGUUCGUGCCUGUCUCAUUGUUACAAGAUCUUGUUUCAAUAUAUGUGAAUUAAAACCAUGUACGAAGUGUAGUAAUUAAGCUCAUCUCGUUAUAUUUACCUUGAGACGAGCAACAAGAGGUUCCUCUUUUGGUGUCUCUUCGGUUUUAGCUACCACUACUACUUCAGGUUGUCUCGGUGCACUCGAGACUUGUCUCUCUUUCAGAACCGUGUUGCUUUGACUCUUCUCUAUUUGCCUUGCUGGGUCAGUGGCAGUUCCAUUGACUUCAGAAGAUGCACCAUUGUCUUUCUUCAACUUGGCAACAAGUACCCACAU